CGUUGAAGGUGAAUCGUAAGGUUUGCUGGAGGUAUCAGAAGUGCGAAUGCUGACAUGAGUAACGAUAAAGGGGGUGAAAAACCCCCUCGCUGAAAGACCAAGGGUUCCUGUCCAACGUUAAUCGGGGCAGGGUGAGUCGACCCCUAAGGCGAGGGCGAAAGCCGUAGUCGAUGGGAAACAGGUUAAUAUUCCUGUACCACCACGUGAUGCGAUGGAGGGACGGAGUAGGCUAGGUGAUCAGGGCGUUGGUUGUCCCUGUUCAAGGAUGUAGGCAGAGAGCUUAGGAAAAUCCGGGCUCUUAAUGCUGAGAUCUGAUGUCGAGUUUCUACGGAAACGAAGUCAUUGAUGCCAUGCUUCCAAGAAAAGCUUCUAAGCUUCAGUCACGUGGGAUCGUACCCGAAACCGACACAGGUGGUCAGGUAGAGAAUACCAAGGCGCUUGAGAGAACUAUGUUGAAGGAACUCGGCAAAUUACCUCCGUAACUUCGGGAGAAGGAGGCCUCAAUCUGGGCAACCAGGUCUGAGGGGCACAAAACUGGGGGUUGCGACUGUUUAUCAAAAACACAGGGCUCUGCGAAGCCGUAAGGCGACGUAUAGGGUCUGACGCCUGCCCGGUGCCGGAAGGUUAAAAGGAGGAGUGAGAGCUCCGAAUUGAAGCCCCGGUAAACGGCGGCCGUAACAAUAACGG
This 687-nucleotide ribosomal RNA is filed under the name Tripos fusus. RNAcentral describes it as "partial Bacterial large subunit ribosomal RNA". It matches the Rfam family "Bacterial large subunit ribosomal RNA", at positions 1248 to 1948 of the family's 2925-position model. Lineage: Eukaryota; Dinophyceae; Gonyaulacales; Ceratiaceae. The record is from RNAcentral.